This 497-nucleotide ribosomal RNA is filed under the name uncultured bacterium. RNAcentral's name for it is "partial 16S ribosomal RNA". It matches the Rfam family "Bacterial small subunit ribosomal RNA", at positions 28 to 507 of the family's 1533-position model. The record is from RNAcentral.
GACGAACGCUGGCGGCGUGCCUAAUACAUGCAAGUUGAGCGCUGAAGGUUGGUACUUGUACCAACUGGAUGAGCAGCGAACGGGUGAGUAACGCGUGGGGAAUCUGCCUUUGAGCGGGGGACAACAUUUGGAAACGAAUGCUAAUACCGCAUAAAAACUUUAAACACAAGUUUUAAGUUUGAAAGAUGCAAUUGCAUCACUCAAAGAUGAUCCCGCGUUGUAUUAGCUAGUUGGUGAGGUAAAGGCUCACCAAGGCGAUGAUACAUAGCCGACCUGAGAGGGUGAUCGGCCACAGUGGGACUGAGACACGGCCCAAACUCCUACGGGAGGCAGCAGUAGGGAAUCUUCGGCAAUGGACGAAAGUCUGACCGAGCAACGCCGCGUGAGUGAAGAAGGGUUUCGGAUCGUAAAACUCUGUUGGUAGAGAAGAACGUUGGUGAGAGUGGAAAGCUCAUCAAGUGACGGUAACUACCCAGAAGGGGACGGCUAACUACGUG